Molecule: ribosomal RNA, 307 nt
Filed under: uncultured cyanobacterium
Lineage: Bacteria; Bacillati; Cyanobacteriota
Description: bacterial SSU rRNA
Rfam family: Bacterial small subunit ribosomal RNA
Source: RNAcentral
CAGGGAAGAAAAAAAUGACGGUACCUGAGGAAUAAGCAUCGGCUAACUCCGUGCCAGCAGCCGCGGUAAUACGGAGGAUGCAAGCGUUAUCCGGAAUGAUUGGGCGUAAAGGGUCCGCAGGUGGCUAUGUAAGUCUGCUGUUAAAGAAUGAGGCUUAACCUCAUCAGAGCAGUGGAAACUACACAGCUAGAGUGCGUUCGGGGUAGAGGGAAUUCCUGGUGUAGCGGUGAAAUGCGUAGAUAUCAGGAAGAACACCAGUGGCGAAAGCGCUCUACUAGGCCGCAACUGACACUGAGGGACGAAAGCU